RNAcentral lists this small RNA (596 nucleotides) under human gut metagenome. The record is from RNAcentral.
AUUAAUUGAGAUGGCACAUUAUUCUAGUCAUUUGAAUUUAUUAUGAAGGUGGGAAUAAAACACCACUAAAGAGCAUAUCUGUGAAACUUUUGGUGCUUGCUUUAUACGCCCAGUUUAGGGUGAGUGCUGAGAGAAGAGUAAUUGGGCAACCGUAAUGGCAUACGUCACUGACCCAAUUAUUCGUGGAGACCUAAUCUUGUUAUUAGCCUACACACGUUUCGUUGAUGGACUAAUGACGACUUAGGAUUAAACCUACUAUGUGGGGAAACUUACGAGUAGCGUAGCUUGUCUUGCGUGAAUUUAGGGGAUAGAUGACAGAUACUUGUAUAUCGGCCAAUAUAUAAGUAUUAUUGCUUCUUGAAACUACGUUUGCAAAAAAGAAUUAAUAAUAAAUGAUGGUGAGGAAAUCUCCUAGAGUGUACAUUUAUAUAGGAUUGCAGUACGUACUCAGUGGCAAUCAAGCCAUAUAUUUGGAAACAAUAUAUUCAUUUCUUUAAAGGGGAACCGCAAGUGUGGUAACGCACUGUAGAAAUGAGGGAAAUCCUGCUUGACCUUAAGACGUAAAGUUAACUAUAUGAGUAGCCAUUCAAAUUAUA